Molecule: long non-coding RNA, 863 nt
Organism: Brassica napus (rape)
Lineage: Eukaryota; Viridiplantae; Streptophyta; Magnoliopsida; Brassicales; Brassicaceae
Exons: 3
Source: RefSeq, a predicted model, not a curated record
UGAUGAGAUUGGAUUUUCGACAGAUGACCUCCAAGAACUUGUUCAUUCUCUAUCCUAUGUCUACCAGCGGAGCACAACUGCCAUCUCUGUAGUUGCGCCUAUAAUGUAUGCUCAUUUGGCAGCUGCACAGAUGGCAACUGCGAUGAAGUUUGAGGACAACUCCGAGACUUCAUCAAGCCAUGGUGGGAUUACAACAUCUGAAGCAGUACCUGUCUCUCCCAUGCCAAAGCUGAAUGUGGAUGUUGCAAGCUCUAUGUUCUUCUGUUGAAGCAUUGACUAUUUGACUCUAGAUCCCUUUCUGCCUAAGCAACAGAAUAAUAAUCGGUGUUGUGAUUUUCGUUUUAAAAAAUAUUUAGCAUCUCGACUCUGCCUUUGUUGGCGUUGGUUAAUCUCUGUUUUAAUAAAUUUGCUAUUUAUACCUUCAGUUUGCAUUUUAUCAUAGAAAAAUAAUUAUUCUACCAAAAUUUAAAGUAUGUCCUUUCUUAAUGAAACCUACAAAAGUUGUUUAUGAAAGGUCAUUUAUAGUAAAAUAAUGAAAUAUUUUGAUUUAAUAUUCCAAAAUUCUAAGUAUUCUGAAUACAAAUUUUACCUUUAAGAAUUUGUAAUAUUUCAUUUCACUGUAGAAUAAGACUGUAUGAGUUGCUACAUGAACCUGAGAGAUGUUAUAACCCACGUCCCACCACACAAUAAUUCUGAUAAGAGCACCAGCAUUGGAGGUUCGUGGGUGGAGUUCACACGUUUUCCUAAAAAAAAAAAUAUUGUAAUAUGCUACAGUAAUGAUCCUGUCUCGCCACGCUCCUUCCGUAUGAACCCGAGUCGUCACUGUACAGUGGGCCCCACGCCACGUGGCGGCCCGCUAUUGG